GACGUAGGGUCCAAGCGUUGUCCGGAUUUACUGGGCGUAAAGAGCGCGUAGGCGGUCCGUUAAGUGCAGAGUGAAAGCUCCGGGCUCAACUCGGAAAUUGCUCUGCAUACUAGCGGACUCGAGGACGGAAGAGGUUUGUGGAAUUCCUGGUGUAGCGGUGAAAUGCGUAGAGAUCAGGAAGAACAUCGGUGGCGAAGGCGCUCUGCUGGACCAUAACUGACACUCAGGGACGAAAGCUAGGGGAGCGAAUGGG
This 253-nucleotide ribosomal RNA is filed under the name uncultured bacterium. Its description in RNAcentral is "partial 16S ribosomal RNA". It matches the Rfam family "Bacterial small subunit ribosomal RNA", at positions 524 to 776 of the family's 1533-position model. The record is from RNAcentral.